This 464-nucleotide ribosomal RNA is filed under the name soil bacterium 07G-12. RNAcentral's name for it is "bacterial SSU rRNA". It matches the Rfam family "Bacterial small subunit ribosomal RNA", at positions 23 to 483 of the family's 1533-position model. The record is from RNAcentral.
CUCAGAUUGAACGCUGGCGGCAUGCCUUACACAUGCAAGUCGAACGGCAGCACGGGCUUCGGCCUGGUGGCGAGUGGCGAACGGGUGAGUAAUACAUCGGAACGUGCCCUGUAGUGGGGGAUAACUAGUCGAAAGAUUAGCUAAUACCGCAUACGACCUGAGGGUGAAAGCGGGGGACCGCAAGGCCUCGCGCUACAGGAGCGGCCGAUGUCUGAUUAGCUAGUUGGUGGGGUAAAAGCCUACCAAGGCGACGAUCAGUAGCUGGUCUGAGAGGACGAUCAGCCACACUGGGACUGAGACACGGCCCAGACUCCUACGGGAGGCAGCAGUGGGGAAUUUUGGACAAUGGGGGCAACCCUGAUCCAGCAAUGCCGCGUGUGUGAAGAAGGCCUUCGGGUUGUAAAGCACUUUUGUCCGGAAAGAAAUGGCUCUGGUUAAUACCCGGGGUCGAUGACGUACCGAAG